Molecule: ribosomal RNA, 762 nt
Filed under: uncultured archaeon
Lineage: Archaea
Description: bacterial SSU rRNA
Rfam family: Archaeal small subunit ribosomal RNA
Source: RNAcentral
GGAUAACCUGCCCUUGGGUCCGGCAUAACCCCGGGAAACUGGGGAUAAUUCCGGAUAACGCACAUAUGCUGGAAUGCUUUAUGCGUCAAAUGGAUUCGUCUGCCCAAGGAUGGGUCUGCGGCCUAUCAGGUAGUAGUGGGUGUAAUGUACCUACUAGCCGACGACGGGUACGGGUUGUGAGAGCAAGAGCCCGGAGAUGGAUUCUGAGACACGAAUCCAGGCCCUACGGGGCGCAGCAGGCGCGAAAACUCUACAAUGCAGGCAACUGCGAUAGGGGAACAUCGAGUGAUACUCAUAUUGGGUGUCUGUCCUUCCGUCUAAAAAACGGGAGUUAGCAAGGGCCGGGCAAGACCGGUGCCAGCCGCCGCGGUAAUACCGGCGGCUCGAGUGGUGGCCGAUAUUAUUGAGUCUAAAGGGUCCGUAGCCGGCUUGGCAAGUCUCUUGGGAAAUCCGGCGGCUUAACCGUCGGUCGUCCGGGAGAUACUACCUUGCUUGGGACUGGGAGAGGCGUGAGGUACUCAGGGGGUAGGAGUGAAAUCCUGUAAUCCUUUGGGGACCACCGGUGGGCGAAGGCGUCACGCCAGAACAGGUCCGACGGUGAGGGACGAAAGCUAGGGGCACGAACCGGAUUAGAUACCCGGGUAGUCCUAGCCGUAAACGAUGCUCGCUAGGUGUCACGACAAUCGUGAAUUGUCGUGGUGCCGUAGGGGAANCCGUGAAGCGAGCCACUUGGGGAAGUACGACCGCANGGUUGAAACUUAA